RNAcentral lists this ribosomal RNA (460 nucleotides) under uncultured bacterium. Its description in RNAcentral is "partial 16S ribosomal RNA". It matches the Rfam family "Bacterial small subunit ribosomal RNA", at positions 338 to 795 of the family's 1533-position model. The record is from RNAcentral.
CCUACGGGAGGCAGCAGUGAGGAAUAUUGGUCAAUGGACGCGAGCCUGAACCAGCCACGUAGCGUGAGGGAUGACUGCCCUCUGGGUUGUAAACUUCUUUUAUAAAGGAAUAAAACGAGGCACGUGUGCCUUUUUGCAUGUACUUUAUGAAUAAGGAUCGGCUAACUCCGUGCCAGCAGCCGCGGUAAUACGGAGGAUCCGAGCGUUAUCCGGAUUUAUUGGGUUUAAAGGGAGCGUAGAUGGGUUGUUAAGUCAGUUGUGAAAGUUUGCGGCUCAACCGUAAAAUUGCAAUUGAUACUGGCAGUCUUGAGUACAGUUGAGGUAGGCGGAAUUCGUGGUGUAGCGGUGAAAUGCUUAGAUAUCACGAAGAACCCCGAUUGCGAAGGCAGCUUACUAAACUGUGACUGACAUUGAGGCUCGAAAGUGUGGGUAGCAAACAGGAUUAGAUACCCGUGUAGUC